RNAcentral lists this ribosomal RNA (254 nucleotides) under uncultured bacterium. RNAcentral describes it as "partial 16S ribosomal RNA". It matches the Rfam family "Bacterial small subunit ribosomal RNA", at positions 524 to 776 of the family's 1533-position model. The record is from RNAcentral.
UACGUAGGGGGCGAGCGUUAUCCAGAUUUACUGGGCGUAAAGCGCGUGUAGGCGGCUGGUUAGGUGUGAUGUGAAAUCCUCGGGCUCAACCCGAGAACUGCAUUGCAAACCGGCCUGGCUAGAGUGCAGGAGAGGGAAGCGGAAUUCCAGGUGUAGCGGUGAAAUGCGUAGAUAUCAUUUGGAACGCCAAUGGUGAAAACAGGUAGCUGGGGCUGUGCUGACACUGAGACACGAAAGCCAGGGGAGCAAACGGG